AGACCCGAAACCCGGUGAUCUAGCCAUGGGCAGGUUGAAGGUUGGGUAACACUAACUGGAGGACCGAACCGACUAAUGUUGAAAAAUUAGCGGAUGACCUGUGGCUGGGGGUGAAAGGCCAAUCAAACCGGGAGAUAGCUGGUUCUCCCCGAAAGCUAUUUAGGUAGCGCCUCGUGAAUUCAUCUCCGGGGGUAGAGCACUGUUUCGGCUAGGGGGCCAUCCCGGCUUACCAACCCGAUGCAAACUGCGAAUACCGGAGAAUGUUAUCACGGGAGACACACGGCGGGUGCUAACGUCCGUCGUGAAGAGGGAAACAACCCAGACCGCCAGCUAAGGUCCCAAAGUCAUGGUUAAGUGGGAAACGAUGUGGGAAGGCCCAGACAGCCAGGAUGUUGGCUUAGAAGCAGCCAUCAUUUAAAGAAAGCGUAAUAGCUCACUGGUCGAGUCGGCCUGCGCGGAAGAUGUAACGGGGCUAAACCAUGCACCGAAGCUGCGGCAGCGACACUCAGGUGUUGUUGGGUAGGGGAGCGUUCUGUAAGCCUGCGAAGGUGGCCUGUGAGGGUUGCUGGAGGUAUCAGAAGUGCGAAUGCUGACAUAAGUAACGAUAAAGCGGGUGAA
RNAcentral lists this ribosomal RNA (618 nucleotides) under Salmonella enterica. Its description in RNAcentral is "partial 23S ribosomal RNA". It matches the Rfam family "Bacterial large subunit ribosomal RNA", at positions 711 to 1325 of the family's 2925-position model. The record is from RNAcentral. Lineage: Bacteria; Pseudomonadati; Pseudomonadota; Gammaproteobacteria; Enterobacterales; Enterobacteriaceae.